GUGAAACCGAGUGAGGCGGGUCCUCACAGCACUGGCAGCCCUACUUCCCACCCUUUAUUCGCGAAUUUGACAAAUACUGGAAAAGUCGACUGCAAGCCGUUGAGUCUAGCCGUAGCUGGAGUAGUCAGGCCUUGCAUUCAUAAUCAGAUGUCGCCGAAGAAACGCGAACUUUCAGGCGCCAUUUUAAAGCGGAAGGCUCCGAUAGUUAAAGUAGAGAAGAAAGAAAAACAGCAGAAGACGUCGAAGUCAAAAACAUCUUCGAUCGCGAAAGCCAAACUUUCAGGUGCUAUUGUGAAAUACAAGGCUCAACGACAACAGUUUGAAAAUAAAAAUCAAACGCAUCAGGGUGGGGGAGGAAGGACUGGCUCCAAUUAAAUGGUGAAAAUCCGAUUCCGAUCAGGCGAUGACGAAAGUGUGAAUCACGAAAUACCAGUGUGUACUACACAAUUUGUGGAAAAUUCCUGGAAGUGUAUGCGGAAUCUUUAAAAAAAACCAACACCCCGGCACUAAUUAGCGACACUGAUCCGCCUGCUGUAUAAAAGACGAGGAGCACGCUGAUAUAGUGUUCACGUGCCAUCGUCUUCUGGUUCUUAGAGUUCAUCACUUGGUUUCUGCGCGUCACUGCAGGUGUACAAUUCGUAGCAACGAAAGCAAGGAGACAGACUCAAGAGACAAAUACAAUGGCAUCGAGACUGGUGGACUUCUAUCAUUACACUGACGAAAGCAGUGCACAGGAAAUUCAGAGAACUGGACAUAUUUGGCCCAGUCAAGCAAGCGGACCUGAUGCAGUGCUUGGAACUGGUGUGUAUGGGACAAAGGUGCCACCUCAUGCAGGUAAAGGGCAGAUUGCCCGCAACAACUGGGAUGGCACUGGCAACUGGCACGCCAGGCGAGCUGGAGGAAGUGUGGACUAUGUCUUCCAUCUCCGCAUUCCCCUGAAUAACUUGCGAGAAGUCAAGACGCACAACGGCCGCCAAAUGUAUUUGCACAGGAAUCCAAUAAGACUAGCAGAUUAUGACUACAAUAUUAUUGAAGUUCCAUAGUGAAAAGCGCAACUUUUGCCAGAACUAUGUGGCUUUAACUUAACUUUUCUUAAAACAGCGUCUUGACUCAUCUUUAUACUUGCUAAACCAUUUUUUUGCCUGCAUUCAUGGGAAGAGAAUCCAGUUGUUUUCUUAACUUUUGCUUCAAAGUUUAUUAUAUAGGUUUUUUUAAAAUUGUGUGCAAAUGUUUCAUUUCCUCCCCCCCCCCAAUUGUCUCAUGUGAGACUUUUUUUUUUAAUUUGACGUCUUCGAUCUUUCGUUAGUUGGCAUUUGCUGACCACUUUGGUUAGAAUUUGGUUAAAUUUGAUUAAAUAAAAUUAUUACUUUGA
Molecule: unclassified non-coding RNA, 1372 nt
Filed under: Pomacea canaliculata
Lineage: Eukaryota; Metazoa; Mollusca; Gastropoda; Architaenioglossa; Ampullariidae
Description: uncharacterized LOC112554607, transcript variant X3
Source: RNAcentral